GUUGAACGCUGGCGGCGUGCCUAAUACAUGCAAGUCGAGCGAACGGACGAGAAGCUUGCUUCUCUGAUGUUAGCGGCGGACGGGUGAGUAACACGUGGAUAACCUACCUAUAAGACUGGGAUAACUUCGGGAAACCGGAGCUAAUACCGGAUAAUAUUUUGAACCGCAUGGUUCAAAAGUGAAAGACGGUCUUGCUGUCACUUAUAGAUGGAUCCGCGCUGCAUUAGCUAGUUGGUAAGGUAACGGCUUACCAAGGCAACGAUGCAUAGCCGACCUGAGAGGGUGAUCGGCCACACUGGAACUGAGACACGGUCCAGACUCCUACGGGAGGCAGCAGUAGGGUAUCUUCCGCAAUGGGCGAAAGCCUGACGGAGCAACGCCGCGUGAGUGAUGAAGGUCUUCGGAUCGUAAAACUCUGUUAUUAGGGAAGAACAUAUGUGUAAGUAACUGUGCACAUCUUGACGGUACCUAAUCAGAAAGCCACGGCUAACUACGUG
RNAcentral lists this ribosomal RNA (497 nucleotides) under uncultured bacterium. Its description in RNAcentral is "partial 16S ribosomal RNA". It matches the Rfam family "Bacterial small subunit ribosomal RNA", at positions 28 to 507 of the family's 1533-position model. The record is from RNAcentral.